Molecule: ribosomal RNA, 119 nt
Organism: Pteropus vampyrus (large flying fox)
Lineage: Eukaryota; Metazoa; Chordata; Mammalia; Chiroptera; Pteropodidae
Source: Ensembl
GUCUAUGGCCAUGCUACCCUAAACGAGCCCAAUCCCGUCUGAUCUCAGAAGCUAAGCAGGGUCGGUCCUGGUUAGUACUUGGAUAGGAGACCACGAAGGAAGACCAGGUGCUAUAGGAG